AUGGGGUCUUGCUAUGUUGCCCAGGCUGGUCUUGAACUCCUAGCCUGGGCAACAUAGCAACAGCCACC
Molecule: microRNA precursor, 68 nt
Organism: Pan troglodytes (chimpanzee)
Lineage: Eukaryota; Metazoa; Chordata; Mammalia; Primates; Hominidae
Rfam family: mir-1285 microRNA precursor family
Source: Rfam